GUGGGGAAUCUUCCGCAAUGGACGAAAGUCUGACGGAGCAACGCCGCGUGAGUGAUGAAGGUCUUCGGAUUGUAAAGCUCUGUUAAUCGGGACGAAAGAGCCUAGUGUGAAUAAUGCUAGGAAGUGACGGUACCGGAAUAGAAAGCCACGGCUAACUACGUGCCAGCAGCCGCGGUAAUACGUAGGUGGCAAGCGUUGUCCGGAAUUAUUGGGCGUAAAGCGCGCGCAGGCGGAUCUGCCAGUCUGUCUUAAAAGUUCGGGGCUUAACCCCGUGAUGGGAUGGAAACUACAGAUCUAGAGUAUCGGGGAGGAAAGUGGAAUUCCUAGUGUAGCGGUGAAAUGCGUAGAUAUUAGGAAGAACACCAGUGGCGAAGGCGAUUUUCUGGACGAAAACUGACGCUGAGGCGCGAAAGCCAGGGGAGCGAACGGGAUUAGAAACCCCUGUAGUCC
RNAcentral lists this ribosomal RNA (450 nucleotides) under uncultured bacterium. Its description in RNAcentral is "partial 16S ribosomal RNA". It matches the Rfam family "Bacterial small subunit ribosomal RNA", at positions 354 to 796 of the family's 1533-position model. The record is from RNAcentral.